GACGAACGCUGGCGGCGUGCUUAACACAUGCAAGUCGAACGGAAAGGCCUGGCUUUCGUGGUGGGCUCGAGUUGCUAACGUGUGAGUCACACGUGUGUCACCUGCCUUUGAUUUUGCGAUAACUUCAGGAAACUUGGGCUACUACCUGUUAGUAGCUCCUGCUGCAUGGGGGGGGUUGGGAGGUUUCGGCGGUUGGUGAUGGACUUGCGGCUUAUCAGCUUGCUGGUGGGGUAGUGGGUUACCAAGGCUGUGACGGGUAGCCGGCCUGAGAGGGUGACCGGCGACAUUGGGACUGAGAUAAGGCGCAGAAGCCUACGGGAGGCAGCAGUGGGGAAUAUUACACAGUGGGCGGAAGCCUGAGGCAGCGAUGCCGCGUGCGGGAUGACGGCCUUCGGGUUGUAAACCGCUUGCGCCUGUGACGAAGCGUGAGUGACGGUAAUGGGUAAAGAAGCACCGGCUAACUACGUG
RNAcentral lists this ribosomal RNA (468 nucleotides) under uncultured bacterium. RNAcentral's name for it is "partial 16S ribosomal RNA". It matches the Rfam family "Bacterial small subunit ribosomal RNA", at positions 28 to 507 of the family's 1533-position model. The record is from RNAcentral.